CAUAAGACUCUCGGCAACGGAUAUCUCGGCUCUUGCAUCGAUGAAGAACGUAGCAAAAUGCGAUACCUGGUGUGAAUUGCAGAAUCCCGUGAACCAUCAAGUUUUUGAACGCAAGUUGCGCUCGAGGCCUUUUGGCUAAGGGCACGUCUGUCUGGGCGUCACGC
This 164-nucleotide ribosomal RNA is filed under the name Tripogonella spicata. RNAcentral's name for it is "5.8S ribosomal RNA". It matches the Rfam family "5.8S ribosomal RNA". From Rfam's summary of the family: 5.8S ribosomal RNA (5.8S rRNA) is a component of the large subunit of the eukaryotic ribosome. It is transcribed by RNA polymerase I as part of the 45S precursor that also contains 18S and 28S rRNA. Lineage: Eukaryota; Viridiplantae; Streptophyta; Magnoliopsida; Poales; Poaceae. The record is from RNAcentral. RNAcentral also lists the same sequence under 1 other name.